Molecule: ribosomal RNA, 497 nt
Filed under: uncultured bacterium
Lineage: Bacteria
Description: partial 16S ribosomal RNA
Rfam family: Bacterial small subunit ribosomal RNA
Source: RNAcentral
GAUGAACGCUGGCGGCGUGCCUAAUACAUGCAAGUCGAGCGAACAGAUGAGGAGCUUGCUCCUCUGACGUUAGCGGCGGACGGGUGAGUAACACGUGGAUAACCUACCUAUAGGACUGGGAUAACUUCGGGAAACCGGAGCUAAUACCGGAUAAUAUAUUGAACCGCAUGGUUCAAUAGUGAAAGACGGUUUUGCUGUCACUUAUAGAUGGAUCCGCGCCGCAUUAGCUAGUUGGGAAGGUAACGGCUUACCAAGGCAACGAGGCGUAGCCGACCUGAGAGGGUGAUCGGCCACACUGGAACGGAGACACGGUCCAGACUCCUACGGGAGGCAGCAGUAGGGAAUCUUCCGCAAUGGGCGAAAGCCUGACGGAGCAACGCCGCGUGAGUGAUGAAGGUCUUCGGAUCGUAAAACUCUGUUAUUAGGGAAGAACAAAUGUGUAAGUAACUAUGCACGUCUUGACGGUACCUAAUCAGAAAGCCACGGCUAACUACGUG